AUAAUUUCUCCCAAGAUUACCCCAACAAAAUCUUCCAAAUCCAGAGGGAGUACAGAUUUAUGAUGCCGGGUUUCUCUGCACCCACAAGCAGGCAUGCAGGAGUUGCUGCUGUAAAUUUCUCCAGGGCUCACUAGCUCUCCUAAACCUACCACUUCCUCCCAAGGCAGAGAACAUUUUCCAGCACUGCUUGGUCCCGCAGCAGCAGAAGGAGCUGGGGACUGUGUGGAGGAUGUGGCAGAUGGGGGAAAGUGAUGUGGGACAGGAAGCAAGCUGGAGCUGAAGGGAAAGCUUGUGAGUAAAAGAAGAGGAGGACAAAAAGAUGCAAACAGGAAGAAAAAUGUCUUCAAAUCUGGCAUUCAGUAAGGUCCCUUCUUUCCUUGUGUGCACUGGGAUGAGGAGAAGACGAGGAGAUCUAAGUUUACAAUACACCCAGCAGUGGAAAAGCUCAUCUUUUUCAAAGCCAAAGCCAAAAUGAACAUGUGCCUUGCACUAAGAAAUCCCAGGAUUGUCACAACUUGUGCCAGCUGUUGAGGUUAUGACACCUGUGCCAGCAUCGCCAGCUCUGCCCACUGUCAUCUGUUCCAACUGUUCCAUCUGCACUGUUUGUACCAAUUCUCCCAUUUCUGCAUCUGUACCUUCUGCAGAAACGGGUCCAACAAUGCCAGCUGUGUCAUCGGUGCCAAAUAUGCCAGAUGUUCUAUUUGUCCACCCUGGGCCAAAUCAAUGUAGUUUUGUGCUCAUUAGUUUUAGCUGGUAGAUUCUAUUUCACAAUUUUUUGAGAUGCACUUAGAUCGAAUCAAUUCUAAAUCACCACUACAACUGCUUUACAUCUAUCUCACCAUAAACAGAACUUUGUUGUCCCACAUUUGGUCAAAAUUAUUUUAACCUUAUUAAGUUGCACAUGAUGAUUUGAGUUCUUUCUUAAUGGCAAGAUUAUUUUUUUUAUUUUAGAGGAUGUAGCUGCAGAGAGAUGAAUAGAAAAAGAUAAGGGUCAUGGUGUCCAGGCUGUAAAUAAUCCCCAUGGUUACAGUAAAUAUUGUCCACACACUGAUCUACUGACUGAGAAAUCCCUGGUGCUGAUCCCUUAUUCCACACUGCUGAUAAGGAGAAGACCAUCUGAUGCUGGUUUAUUUGCACUGAGUACCUUAAGGUGGGAGAGACAGCGAAAAAUGAAGCCCUAGGUUUGUACUGACCAUGGGCAGGUUUAACUAGGGCUGUGCUAAAGGUCUGUUCUCCUCAUGACUGUCCUGCUCAGGACAGAGGGAGCCACUGUGCUGCCGGUGCCCCCUCACAACUACCCUGUGCCUGCGCCCAGUCUCAAUAGCUUUUCUAUUGGAGGUUGUAACCUGUAUCGAUUUGGGUGACAUGUGCUCUGCCUUGUCUGUGCUUCACUAAUGAGAUAAUAUUGGAAAACCGAAUUCGUGGGUCACUACUUUUUCUGAUUCAUCAUUUACUCGCAGGACUGUUCCAGUUUGCAUCCUUGGCCUCUUCCAGAAAGAUCCCACUGUAUCCACUGAAGGUGGUGGGACUUUAGGGUGUGUCAUGUCCUCUGGAAUUUAGCGCUCUGGGUCAGUCAAGAAAGUCAAAAUGUGCUGCUGUCAAGUAUCUCAGAAUGCACUUAAUUCCUGUAUAAGAGAACAAGCCCUGGUUUUGCAUCCCCG
This is a long non-coding RNA of Catharus ustulatus (Swainson's thrush), 1661 nucleotides long. RefSeq lists it as uncharacterized. NCBI's taxonomy places the organism in Eukaryota, Metazoa, Chordata, Aves, Passeriformes, Turdidae. The record is from RefSeq and is a predicted model, not a curated record. The transcript has 3 exons.